GAAUAUUGGACAAUGGGCGCAAGCCUGAUCCAGCCAUACCGCGUGGGUGAAGAAGGCCUUCGGGUUGUAAAGCCCUUUUGUUGGGAAAGAAAUCCUGUCGAUUAAUACUCGGUGGGGAUGACGGUACCCAAAGAAUAAGCACCGGCUAACUUCGUGCCAGCAGCCGCGGUAAUACGAAGGGUGCAAGCGUUACUCGGAAUUACUGGGCGUAAAGCGUGCGUAGGUGGUGGUUUAAGUCUGCUGUGAAAGCCCUGGGCUCAACCUGGGAAUUGCAGUGGAUACUGGAUCACUAGAGUGUGGUAGAGGGAUGCGGAAUUUCUGGUGUAGCAGUGAAAUGCGUAGAGAUCAGAAGGAACAUCCGUGGCGAAGGCGGCAUCCUGGGCCAACACUGACACUGAGGCACGAAAGCGUGGGGAGCAAACAG
This 424-nucleotide ribosomal RNA is filed under the name uncultured bacterium. RNAcentral's name for it is "bacterial SSU rRNA". It matches the Rfam family "Bacterial small subunit ribosomal RNA", at positions 359 to 775 of the family's 1533-position model. The record is from RNAcentral.